Esox lucius (northern pike) is the source of this 3589-nucleotide long non-coding RNA. RefSeq lists it as uncharacterized. The record is from RefSeq and is a predicted model, not a curated record. The transcript is spliced from 5 exons. NCBI's taxonomy places the organism in Eukaryota, Metazoa, Chordata, Actinopteri, Esociformes, Esocidae.
GCCAUUAUCUAUAGAUUAUUUAUGAACUGCCGUUGCAGGCUGAAAAUACCUCGUCCUCUGUUAAUUAGUCACCUAUUCAGUUAGAAAAUACUGUCUAAGAUGAGGACUGAAAGCUCCACUCCAGGCUGAACAGAAAGAGAACCUCAUCCUUUCAAUUGACGUUGGUGGAAAUGGAGCUAAUUGCAUAUGUUUCGAAAUUCCAAGCUAAUUUUGCACCACGUUUUAUAAGUACAUUUUCACUUCUAAAAAGUCCUACACUGGUGUCUGCAUGGGACCUAUGCGUCUGCAGUGCACGUGUAACAGUGUGUGCAGGUGUGUACUGACUAAACACAGGCUUUUGUUUGAAACAAACAGUAGACACACACACACACACACACUCUGGCUACACCCUCACGGCGCUCCACUGUCUGGCAGUUGAUUGUGUGAAAUGUCAUUUCCAAAGUUGUCACCAGUCCUCUUGUCAGCUUCUACACUAUCGUUUCAUGGAAGGGCUUUUAAAAUGGCAACAGUUUUUGUUGUUGCUUGCAUCAACAGGCACAUAGUGUUGAAUAAUGUUGUUGACAGGACAGGUGCUAUGCAUUUCCCCCUCGAUUAGGCACAUCGUUUAGACAACAGAAUUGCCUGUUCCUGAGACCGCAUUAAAAUAGAUACCGACAUGUUUACGCGUGGGCAUUUUUGACGUAGUGUUGCAAAGCUGAAGAAAAAGGAGCAUCUCUGUCACAGAACCAUAUCUAAACCUUUCGAAAGUACCACCAAAAAGCAUCUUGACCCAACAUGUUGCAGAGCUCAGUGACUUGACAGUGAUGAUGACCGUGAUUCCAAGUGGUUGCAAUAGAAAUAGUCAACGAGUCAGUGCCAGCAAUACCUGAAAGCUGUUCUUUGCGCAUUACAUCAUUUAUUUAUCCCAUAAGUGUUGUUAUAGUCACUUCAUAUAAGGUCUGUGUUUCGUUUAGGCUCACCUUGGCUUGGUGUUUUGAUAACAGUGUAAAUCUGUCGGGACAUGAUGACUUUUGUGAACAUGUUUGUACCAAUUACGUCUGCAGUGUACAUGCUAAGUGUACAUGCUAAUUAGCAACAUCGAAGACAUCUUACAAGACUACAAUUCACUCCAACAACAUGCCAUCCAGUGACUGUUGCCACAUUCCUUCUGUUACUGUACUAACAGAAUUUUGCCUGCCAGGAACAGCCUUCAAGUUCCCCCGAAUGUGCAUUUUUCCUUCAAUGACCAACCAGUCAACAGAAUAAACCAGUAAAUCAAGUUGAUCAGCAGCAGAGAACCAGUAAGACUCCUCCUCCAACUGGACAUAGAAAUACCUCAGGUGAACUACAGGACAUUCUCUUCAUCUCUGGUGAAGGAGAACACCCAUGCCUGGGAGCUUAUUACCCAAAAAGCAACUCUGUGGAUAGGGAACACCCUUUGAAAAUCAUCUGGACAGCUCACAGAGAGACACUGAAUAUUUAAAAGAAAUUAGAGCCAUCACUUCUGGCAUAUCUCCUUGCUUGGGGUGGCUGGCAUUGAACAUCUUGGAUUGCUUUUCGUAGGAUAAGCCUGAAGAUGGCAUGAACGUUUGCCCCAUAGUAAAAUGGGUGAAAGUCAACCUGUCCUCGGAUCCCCCCAAUCAGCUGUCGUUCAACUGGAUAAUUACGCUUGGAUGACUGAGGGAUGCACCAGUGGCUGGAAAGCAAAGAGACAUUUGGUCCGUGGUGUGUUUACAUACAUACUGUAUUCACCAUCUUCAGCUGUACAAAAACGUUAUGUUUUAUCAUGACAACCACGCACAAUAUGACGACAUUGGACAACCGUGACAAGUAUCUGCUGGUACAUAGCAGUCUCUCCUGUAGAGCAUUCAACUGCGCCAGUGUUUCCUUUAGAUACGCCACUGUUUCGUUAAGAUGCACCAAAAUGACAACAUCCUGUAACUGUGUCGUCUCUCAAGUAAGAUUGCUUUCGCGAUCUUGAGUUGCUAUAUAGGCCAUUAUGUUCUGCCACUCCCUGCGGAAUAAUCACACCGGGGGAGGUAUCGGAAAUGAAACAAGUAGUGGAAAGUGAAGUCCCUCCCUUUCCGAUAGCGCUUGAAAAAACAAUUGAUUUUGCAUGAGAACCUAAAGUUGCAAUUCCGGCCUAAAGUUUCUUCCCGGGCCUACACAAGUGUGAUUACUUUUGAGACGUGUUUGUCUGAAGAGAACCCAGAACCCGGAACACGUUUUGUCUCCAUUUCGAAUGUGCAAACAGCAGUCUCUAAAAAACAAAUCUUCAUCGCCUGCCAUAGUUGAGGUGUGUGGAUUUUCAUCAACUGCUGUGGCAGUAGUGUAACAAUCUUCAUUGCCUGCCUUGGUGGAAGACAAAGCACUGUUUUUUUCCCAGCUGAAAAAUGGCCACUGCACACCAGUGUGUUGACACUGGGGUUUUGGUCAGCCUGUCAAGGGAGAGAGGUUAGAAUUUGUUUUCCUAGUACAAUGAAUGGUAACAUGUAUAUUAAAACAGAAUACCACACAUGCUUGACUGUACUGAUGGGAAACUACACUGAGCUUUUGUUUAUAUGCACGUAUGAAAAUAAAAUGGGUUGUGCUCCUAACUGUAAUAUCAAGUGGGAGUAUGUUGAAAUCAGACUUACAAAUUAUUUACAUAACGGCUAACAUUACACAUGGUGACAAGCUAACUAACAGUGGAACAUAUGUUUAGCGAACUAACAAAUCUUAACAGUUUUGUAGUCUGUGUUUGUGGACUUUACCCCAGACGCCUAACAUGGCUAAUAUUAAACCUGCCCUAGUGGUCUAACUUAUGGAAAUAGUAGAUCACACACUUAUUGUGGUCAAUAACAAAAGAUUACAACUACAGUCAUGAUACAGAUGCAUGUUAUCUUACGUAAUUGAAUGCCAUCCAUAACUUUGUUAGCAGCUAAAUGAAUAGUGUUUAACGUAACACAUCAUUCCAGAAAUGCAUUUCUCCCAUGGGCACAGGAAAAUAAUCAAAUAGUAGUAGGUAGUGGUUGGAAUUGUUUAAAAUCUGGUUCAUUUAAUUAAUGACAUAAAUUCUGAGCAACCCAGAAAUAUGAAAUAGCCUUUAAGCCCUGCUGGUAAAAACUUUGCCUUUGGUGAUGCCAUAAAAGCCUGUGUAGUCCUGUAAGAUAGGCACAUUAGCGGCUCAUAAGCAUUCCAAGAAUUUAGGCCAAACGCAGACAAAUAUAUUAUUAACAAUUCACCUUGGUCAAGAGAUAUUUACACGGCUGUCAAAACAGAGUCAGGUUAAGCCUACAUGAAACACAGACCUGGAAGAAAUGAAUGGUGUAAAAUGCAAAGAACCGCAUUCAUAUUUUGCUGCUAGGUUUUAUAGAGAAUAUAACUCCUACUAUUACAAUCAGUGGGCCUCAUCCGUCCGUCAUUGCACACAGCAUGCUGGGAAAGAGGAGGGGGAUGAUUAUCAUAAAAAAACAACGCUCCCUCAACCAUCCACUCCACCGACGCCUGUACAGUCGCCAUCACGUUUCCAUGGUUACAAAGAGCCACACUCCUUUGUUUUGCAGAUGAGUAAUUGCCCUCCAAUUAAGAAGAGGUGUGUUGGGGGAUGUUGGAGAGAAAGGGCACCUAG